AUAGCGUAUAUUAAAGUUGUUGCGGUUAAAAAGCUCGUAGUUGAAUCUGUGUGUCACGCUGUCGGUUCAUCGCUCGCGGUGUUUACUGACAUGACGUGGGACGUCCUACCGGUGGGCUCAGCCCCUUUCAGGGGCGGUCCAACUAAUAUCCCAUCGCGGUGCUCUUCACUGAGUGCCGAGGUGGGCCGGUACGUUUACUUUGAACAAAUUAGAGUGCUUAAAGCAGGCUGUCUUCGCCUGAAUACUGUGUGCAUGGAAUAAUGGAAUAGGACCUCGGUUCUAUUUUGUUGGUUUUCGGAACCCCGAGGUAAUGAUUAAUAGGGACAGAUGGGGGCAUUCGUAUUGCGACGUUAGAGGUGAAAUUCUUGGAUCGUCGCAAGACGGACAGAAGCGAAAGCAUUUGCCAAAAAUGUUUUCAUUAAUCAAGAACGAAAGUUAGAGGUUCGAAGGCGAUCAGAUACCGCCCUAGUUCUAACCAUAAACGAUGCCAGCUAGCGAUCCGCCGAAGUUCCUCCGAUGACUCGGCGGGCAGCUUCCGGGAAACCAAAGCUUUUGGGUUCCGGGGGAAGUAUGGUUGCAAAGCUGAAACUUAAAGGAAUUGACGGAAGGGCACCACCAGGAGUGGAGCCUGCGGCUUAAUUUGACUCAACACGGGAAACCUCACCAGGCCCGGACACCGGAAGGAUUGACAGAUUGAUAGCUCUUUCUUGAUUCGGUGGGUGGUGGUGCAUGGCCGUUCUUAGUUGGUGGAGCGAUUUGUCUGGUUAAUUCCGAUAACGAACGAGACUCUAGCCUGCUAAAUAGGCGUAACUUAUGGUAUCUCUAAGGCCCCCGUCGUUCUGUCGGGCGGUUCUUACUACCGACGUACAAACAAAUCUUCUUAGAGGGACAGGCGGCUUCUAGCCGCAC
Molecule: ribosomal RNA, 909 nt
Filed under: Orussus minutus
Lineage: Eukaryota; Metazoa; Arthropoda; Insecta; Hymenoptera; Orussidae
Description: SSU rRNA
Rfam family: Eukaryotic small subunit ribosomal RNA
Source: RNAcentral